RNAcentral lists this non-coding RNA (223 nucleotides) under Clostridia bacterium. Its description in RNAcentral is "6S RNA". It matches the Rfam family "6S / SsrS RNA". From Rfam's summary of the family: E. coli 6S RNA was the first non coding RNA to be sequenced, but its function was unknown until recently. Lineage: Bacteria; Bacillati; Bacillota; Clostridia. The record is from RNAcentral. RNAcentral also lists the same sequence under 1 other name.
UUCAGCCUGCGGUGUUCGAGAUUUACGGAAAAAUGGAACCGACGCAAUUAAAAAGGAGCCCGAAAUAAAUUCAGAUUGCGGUUUGCAGACCUCCCUUGCAUAAGCUCGGUUGACUUGUCCCGACCUUUGUUAAGGACGUUGGGAGCAGUAAAGCAUGAGAUAGGGCACCACCCUGGAGUACAGGGUUCUUAUAUUCCGUAAUGUACGGCACUGCGGGUUUAUC